AACGCUAGCUACAGGCUUAACACAUGCAAGUCGAGGGGCAGCAUUAACGAAAGCUUGCUUUUGUUAGAUGGCGACCGGCGCACGGGUGAGUAACGCGUAUCCAACCUGCCAUAUACAGAGGGAUAGCCUUGCGAAAGUAAGAUUAAUACCUCAUGGUUUAUGUUUGCCGCAUGGUGAGUAUAAUAAAGAUUUAUCGGUAUAUGAUGGGGAUGCGUCCCAUUAGAUAGUUGGCGGGGUAACGGCCCACCGAGUCGACGAUGGGUAGGGGCUCUGAGAGGAAGGUCCCCCACAUUGGAACUGAGACACGGUCCAAACUCCUACGGGAGGCAGCAGUGAGGAAUAUUGGUCAAUGGACGAGAGUCUGAACCAGCCAAGUAGCGUGCAGGAAGACGGCCCUAUGGGUUGUAAACUGCUUUAGUAUGGGAAUAAAGUCACCCACGUGUGGGUGUUUGCAUGUACCAUAAGAAUAAGGACCGGCUAAUUCCGUGCCAGCAGCCGCGGUAAUACGGAAGGUCCGGGCGUUAUCCGGAUUUAUUGGGUUUAAAGGGAGCGUAGGCGGACUUUUAAGUCAGUUGUGAAAGUUCACGGCCCAACCGUGAAAUUGCAGUUGAAACUGAGAGUCUUGAGUGCACGCAGGGAUGCUGGAAUUCGUGGUGUAGCGGUGAAAUGCAUAGAUAUCACGAAGAACUCCGAUUG
This 696-nucleotide ribosomal RNA is filed under the name uncultured Bacteroides sp. Its description in RNAcentral is "bacterial SSU rRNA". It matches the Rfam family "Bacterial small subunit ribosomal RNA", at positions 32 to 715 of the family's 1533-position model. Lineage: Bacteria; Pseudomonadati; Bacteroidota; Bacteroidia; Bacteroidales; Bacteroidaceae. The record is from RNAcentral.